RNAcentral lists this ribosomal RNA (196 nucleotides) under uncultured bacterium. RNAcentral describes it as "partial 16S ribosomal RNA". It matches the Rfam family "Bacterial small subunit ribosomal RNA", at positions 1307 to 1500 of the family's 1533-position model. The record is from RNAcentral.
GAAACUCGCCUACAUGAAGCUGGAGUUGCUAGUAAUCGCGAAUCAGCAUGUCGCGGUGAAUACGUUCCCGGGCCUUGUACACACCGCCCGUCACACCAUGAGAGUUGGCAAUACCCAACGUACGUGAUCUAACCCGCAAGGGAGGAAGCGUCCUAAGGUAGGGUCAGCGAUUGGGGUGAAGUCGUAACAAGGUACC